This 497-nucleotide ribosomal RNA is filed under the name uncultured bacterium. RNAcentral's name for it is "partial 16S ribosomal RNA". It matches the Rfam family "Bacterial small subunit ribosomal RNA", at positions 28 to 507 of the family's 1533-position model. The record is from RNAcentral.
GAUGAACGCUGGCGGCGUGCCUAAUACAUGCAAGUCGAGCGAACAGAUAAGGAGCUUGCUCCUUUGACGUUAGCGGCGGACGGGUGAGUAACACGUGGGUAACCUACCUAUAAGACUGGGAUAACUUCGGGAAACCGGAGCUAAUACCGGAUAACAUUUGGAACCGCAUGGUUCUAAAGUGAAAGAUGGUUUUGCUAUCACUUAUAGAUGGACCCGCGCCGUAUUAGCUAGUUGGUAAGGUAACGGCUUGCCAAGGCGACGAUACGUAGCCGACCUGAGAGGGUGAUCGGCCACACUGGAACUGAGACACGGUCCAGACUCCUACGGGAGGCAGCAGUAGGGAAUCUUCCGCAAUGGGCGAAAGCCUGACGGAGCAACGCCGCGUGAGUGAUGAAGGGUUUCGGCUCGUAAAACUCUGUUAUUAGGGAAGAACAAAUGUGUAAGUAACUGUGCACGUCUUGACGGUACCUAAUCAGAAAGCCACGGCUAACUACGUG